This 407-nucleotide ribosomal RNA is filed under the name uncultured bacterium. RNAcentral's name for it is "partial 16S ribosomal RNA". It matches the Rfam family "Bacterial small subunit ribosomal RNA", at positions 28 to 526 of the family's 1533-position model. The record is from RNAcentral.
GACGAACGCUGGCGGCGUGCCUAAUACAUGCAAGUAGAACGCAGUUAAGAACGGGUGAGUAACGCGUAGUUACCUUCAUCAUCGCGCCGGAUAACUAUUGGUAACGCUAGCUAAUACCGCAUAUUGUGAGAUGGACCGGCGUUGUAUUAGCCAGUUGGUGAGGGAAAGGGUAACCAAGGCGAAGAUACAUAGCCGACCUGAGAGGUGGAUUGGCCACACUGGGGCUUGGACACGGCCCAGAAGCCUACGGGAGGGAGCAGUAGGGAAUCUUCGGGAAUGGAAGGAAGUCUGAACGAGGAACGGCGCGUGAAUUAAGAAGGUUUUCGGAUCGUAAAGCUCUGUUUGUAGAGAAGCGGUAACUAACCAGAAAGGGACGGCUAACUACGUGCCAGCAGCCGCGGUAAUAC